GUUAUUGUAGCUUAACUACAUAAAGCACGGCACUGAAAAUGCCGCAAUGGGACUGAAAAAAUCCCCAAAAACA
This 73-nucleotide transfer RNA is filed under the name Urosaurus nigricauda. Its description in RNAcentral is "tRNA-Phe". It matches the Rfam family "tRNA". Rfam says of the family: Transfer RNA (tRNA) molecules are approximately 80 nucleotides in length. Their secondary structure includes four short double-helical elements and three loops (D, anti-codon, and T loops). Further hydrogen bonds mediate the characteristic L-shaped molecular structure. tRNAs have two regions of fundamental functional importance: the anti-codon, which is responsible for specific mRNA codon recognition, and the 3' end, to which the tRNAs corresponding amino acid is attached (by aminoacyl-tRNA synthetases). tRNAs cope with the degeneracy of the genetic code in two manners: having more than one tRNA (with a specific anti-codon) for a particular amino acid; and 'wobble' base-pairing, i.e. permitting non-standard base-pairing at the 3rd anti-codon position. Lineage: Eukaryota; Metazoa; Chordata; Lepidosauria; Squamata; Phrynosomatidae. The record is from RNAcentral.